RNAcentral lists this ribosomal RNA (1468 nucleotides) under uncultured Bordetella sp. RNAcentral's name for it is "partial 16S-23S ribosomal RNA intergenic spacer". It matches the Rfam family "Bacterial small subunit ribosomal RNA". The record is from RNAcentral. Lineage: Bacteria; Pseudomonadati; Pseudomonadota; Betaproteobacteria; Burkholderiales; Alcaligenaceae.
GGUUCGGUCUGGCUCAGAUUGAACGCUGGCGGGAUGCUUUACACAUGCAAGUCAGACGGCAGCCUGGACUUCGGUCUGGUGGCGAGUGGCGAACGGGUGAGCGAUAAUGCUUAUCGGAACGUACCCUAGUAGCGGGGGAUAACUACGCGAAAGCGUAGCUAAUACCGCAUACGCCCUUCGAGGAAAGCGGGGGACCUUCGGGCCUCGCACUAUUAGAGCAGCCGAUAUCAGGUCGCUUCGUUGGUGGGAGUAACGGCUCACCAAGGCGACGAUCCAUGUGGUUUGAGAGGACGACCAGCCACACUGGGACUGAGACACGGCCCAGACUCCUACGGGAGGCAGCAGUGGGGAAUUUUGGACGUGGAAACCCUGAUCCAGCCAUCCCGUGUGCGAUGAAGGCCUUCGGGUUGUAAAGCACUUUUGGCAGGAAAGAAACGGCACGGGAUAAUACCCCGUGCAACUGACGGUACCUGCAGAAUAGCCACGAAAGUAACUACGUGCCAGCAGCCGCGGUAAUGCGUAGGGUGCAAGCGUUAAUCGGAAUUACUGGGCGUAAAGCGUGCGCAGGCGGUUGGAAAAGAUGUGAAAUCCCAGAGCUUAACUUUGCGGGCUGCAUUUUUAACUAUACAAUGAAGUGUGUCAGAGGAGGUGGAAUUCCGCGUGUAGCAGUGAAAUGCGUAGAUAUGCGGAGGAACACCGAUGGCGAGGCAGCCUCCUGGGAUAACACUGACGCUCAUGCACAGAAAGCGUGAGGUAAACAGGAUUAGAUACCCUGGUAGUCCACGCCUAACGAUGUCGCUAACUGUUGGGGCCUUCGGACAGCAGUGGCCAGCUAACGCGUGAAGUUGACCGCCUGGGGAGUACAGUCGCAAGAUUAAAACUCAAAGGAAUUGACGAGGGACCGCACAAGCGGGUGGAUGAUGUGGAUUAAUUCGAUGCAACGCGAAAAGCCUUUACCUACCCUUGAUAUCUGGAAUCCCGAAGAGAUUUGGGAGUGCUCGCAAGAGAACCGGAACACAGGUGCUGCAUGGCUGUCGUCAGCUCGUGUCGUGAAGUGUUGGGUUAAGUCCCGCAACGAGCGCAACCCUUGUCGUGGUUGCUACGAAGGCCUCUAAUGAGACUGCCGGUGACAAACCGGAGGAAGGUGGGGAUGACGUCAAGUCCUCAUGGCUUAUAUGGUGGGGCUUCACACAUCGCCACAAUGGUCGGGACAGAGGGUCGCCAACCCCACGAGAAGACCAAUCCCAGAAACCCGAUCGUAGUCCGGAUCGCAGUCUGCCAACUCUGACUGCGUGAAGUCAGAUCCACUUUAGUAAUCGCGGAUCAGCAUGUCGCGGUGAAUACGUUCCGGGUCUUGCGCACCGCCCGUCACCAUGGGAGUGGGUUUUGCAGAAGUAGUUAGCCUAACCGUAAGGAGGGCGAUUACCACGGUAGGAUUCAUGACUGGGGUGAAGUCGUAACUGAGUAG